GAGAUAUCGUGAUGUCUUUACUGGGCUAGUGUAGCUCAUUCCUUAUUUAAUCAUUUCAGUUCAGGAGGACAUUGUUCCCGAGCCCGUUCCGCAAGAAGACGACGAAGGGGACGCCUAAAGACUCCAUAGUCAUAUCCAUAGCUUUUACUUCGAAUUUCUCUUUAGUUAGUUAAUCUUUUAUAUUUUGAGCACGUUUUGGUUUUAGUGUAAGGGAUAUUAAUCGAAUUUUGACUUCGCUUCCGCAUUGAUAU
Molecule: long non-coding RNA, 251 nt
Filed under: Carica papaya (papaya)
Lineage: Eukaryota; Viridiplantae; Streptophyta; Magnoliopsida; Brassicales; Caricaceae
Description: long non-coding RNA (CPAP_LNC015425)
Source: RNAcentral